Molecule: non-coding RNA, 647 nt
Organism: Poecilia latipinna (sailfin molly)
Lineage: Eukaryota; Metazoa; Chordata; Actinopteri; Cyprinodontiformes; Poeciliidae
Source: the annotation of a RefSeq genome assembly
AUGGAUUGCAGGACAGGGCUGCUUCUUUUAACUCUCUACUGGACAGGCCUCGAUGGUCAGACUUUGACUGAAUCUGAACCAGUGGUGAAGAGACCAGGAGAAUCUCACAAGCUGACAUGUACAGGCUCUGGAUUCACAUUCAGCAGCUAUGAGAUGGACUGGAUCAGACAGGCUCCUGGAAAAGGACUGGAGUGGAUUGCAUACAUAAGUAACCCCAGUGGAAGCACCCAGUACUAUUCUCCAUCAGUUCAAGGCCGCUUCACCAUUUCUAGAGACAACAGCAAACAGCAGCUGUAUCUACAGAUGAACAAUCUGAAGGCUGAAGAUUCUGCGGUUUAUUAUUGUGCACGGCAUCCGCACAGUGACCAAAAAUAGUUUGGUAGCUGUACAAAAACAAACUAUGCUGAUGUUCAAGAGAUCUAAACGAUCAUGGUGUAGAGAAGGAAGAUAUUUAUUUGGACAAUAUCAUCAUUUAACUGAUUAAUAUCACAAUUUAUUCAACUUCAAAUGUUCAGUAUUGCUGGAUUUAAAAACACAUCCACAAGCAACAAAUUAUUCAUCAAAUCUAUGCUGACACAAACAAUUAAAGCUGUGUGUGAUGGAACAUUGUCACAAAUUGAAACGCUUGAAGAAGCUUUUUCAGCAGC